RNAcentral lists this ribosomal RNA (342 nucleotides) under Triticum aestivum (bread wheat). RNAcentral's name for it is "partial small subunit ribosomal RNA". Lineage: Eukaryota; Viridiplantae; Streptophyta; Magnoliopsida; Poales; Poaceae. The record is from RNAcentral.
AUGUACGGUACUAAUGAUGAUUGCACUAGUUAUGACGAAAAUGUCUCCUAUAAACAUGUCAAUUUUUGUGGAGUGGAUUGGGUUUGCAAGUACACACCAAAUAGGGAAGAUAGAUAUUGCAAGAGGCAUAAGUACUUAGAAACUAAAUUGUUGCAAGAAAGUCUUGAUGAUUGCGCUGAAAGAUUCAAUAUUUUUCGCGCCCCUUGUGAACUUUGCAAUGAACAUGGUCAUUUAAAGCUCCAAUGCUAUUUGUUUUAUGAUCAAGUCGUGUCCAAAUAUUGUGAUAAUUUGAUUACCCUUGAGCAUCAUAAAGAACUUAGCCUUCUUUUGGGUUAUAAAUAA